AUUGAACGCUGGCGGCAGGCCUAACACAUGCAAGUCGAGCGGUAACAGGAGAAAGCUUGCUUUCUUGCUGACGAGCGGCGGACGGGUGAGUAAUGUAUGGGGAUCUGUCCGAUAGAGGGGGAUAACUACUGGAAACGGUAGCUAAUACCGCAUGACGUCUACGGACCAAAGACAGGGGCUCUUCGGACCUUGCGCUAUCGGAUGAACCCGCGUAAGAUUAGGUAGUUGGUGAGGUAAAGGCUCACCAAGCCGACGAUCUUUAGCUGGUCUGAGAGGAUGAUCAGCCACACUGGGACUGAGACACGGCCCAG
This 311-nucleotide ribosomal RNA is filed under the name uncultured bacterium. RNAcentral's name for it is "bacterial SSU rRNA". It matches the Rfam family "Bacterial small subunit ribosomal RNA", at positions 30 to 334 of the family's 1533-position model. The record is from RNAcentral.